UACGGGGGGGCAAGCGUUGUUCGGAAUUACUGGGCGUAAAGUGUGCGCAGGCGGCCGCGCAAGUCGAGUGUGAAAUCCCCGAGCUUAACUUGGGAAUUGCGCUCGAAACUACGUGGCUGGAGUGUGGCAGAGGAAGGUGGAAUUCCACGUGUAGCGGUGAAAUGCGUAGAUAUGUGGAGGAACACCGAUGGCGAAGGCAGCCUUCUGGGCCAACACUGACGCUCAUGCACGAUAGCGUGGGGAGCAAACAGG
RNAcentral lists this ribosomal RNA (252 nucleotides) under uncultured bacterium. RNAcentral's name for it is "partial 16S ribosomal RNA". It matches the Rfam family "Bacterial small subunit ribosomal RNA", at positions 524 to 776 of the family's 1533-position model. The record is from RNAcentral.